This 581-nucleotide ribosomal RNA is filed under the name fungal endophyte. RNAcentral describes it as "eukaryotic LSU rRNA". The stretch from base 216 to 369 matches the Rfam family "5.8S ribosomal RNA". Lineage: Eukaryota; Fungi. The record is from RNAcentral.
UUAACGAUCGUAGUGACCUGCGGAAGGAUCAUUAAAGAGUAAGGGUGCUCAGCGCCCGACCUCCAACCCUCUGUUGUUAAAACUACCUUGUUGCUUUGGCGGGACCGCUCGGUCUCGAGCCGCUGGGGAUUCGUCCCAGGCGAGCGCCCGCCAGAGUUAAACCAAACUCUUGUUAUAUAAACCGGUCGUCUGAGUUAAAAUUUUGAAUAAAUCAAAACUUUCAACAACGGAUCUCUUGGUUCUCGCAUCGAUGAAGAACGCAGCGAAAUGCGAUAAGUAAUGUGAAUUGCAGAAUUCAGUGAAUCAUCGAAUCUUUGAACGCACAUUGCGCCCCUUGGUAUUCCGAGGGGCAUGCCUGUUCGAGCGUCAUUACACCACUCAAGCUAUGCUUGGUAUUGGGCGUCCGUCCCUUCGGGGGCGCGCCUUAAAGACCUCGGCGAGGCCUCACCGGCUUUAGGCGUAGUAGAAUUUAUUCGAACGUCUGUCAAUGGAGAGGACUUCUGCCGACUGAAACCUUUUAUAUUUUUCUAGGUUGACCUCGGAUCAGGUAGGGAUACCCGCUGAACUUAAGCAUAUCAUAG